Mytilus trossulus (common blue mussel) is the source of this 227-nucleotide long non-coding RNA. RefSeq lists it as uncharacterized. The transcript has 3 exons. NCBI's taxonomy places the organism in Eukaryota, Metazoa, Mollusca, Bivalvia, Mytilida, Mytilidae. The record is from RefSeq and is a predicted model, not a curated record.
AGACAACACUUAAUGAGCAUCUUGAAUGACUAGAUUCAAUAUUUUGUGGAGAUGUAGAAUCAUGCAAUCAUUUUAGAAACAUGACCCCAACAAAAGAUAAAUGGUCGGUGCCUAAUUCGUGAAACAAGUUGAAAUAUAAACAUUCGUUUCAAGAGAACUGGUGAGUUAUACCAAAACCUGAAGUAAAAGUGUUCAUUGCUUUCUCAAACCUGCAGCAGAAAAGGUAA